This 303-nucleotide ribosomal RNA is filed under the name Triticum aestivum (bread wheat). RNAcentral describes it as "partial small subunit ribosomal RNA". Lineage: Eukaryota; Viridiplantae; Streptophyta; Magnoliopsida; Poales; Poaceae. The record is from RNAcentral.
AUGAAAAGAGAGAGCAGAGACGAAAAUCCAAAUCUGAGCCCGAGCUCAUCUGUACCUGCGCUCACUAAAAAAAUCAAAAUAAAUACUAAAAAAAUUAAAAAAAAUCCGAAAAAAAUUGGGGUGGUGGACAAUUUGAUGAGUGAGGUGCGCCCUAAUUUUCAAAACAUUUGGACUUAUGUGCAGCUCUCAGCAAAAAAGACAAAUCGGAGGUCUGUAAAAAUGUGUACUGUUCAUAUACUGUUUUGGUCUGAUUUGUCUUUUUGGCUGAGAGCUGCACAUAAGUCCAAAUGUUUUGAAAAUUGA